AAUAGUCAUGCUAAUUUCUCGCUGUUUCAAACUUUACCACGCAUUUCAUAUUUAAUAGAUGAAUCAUGUAGGAAUGCAAUUUGUUUCAAGUUUAAGAUGUUUUUCCAAUGCUCUACAGCAUGCUCUCUCAGAAGCUGAACAUAACCUAUGAUCAGGUACAAUUGUGGAUAAUGAACUUAGUUAGGAAUUCACAACUUGAUGCCUGCAUUGAUUCAGUGUCUGGAACUAUUGUUACGAUGACCAAUUAUGUUAGUAUGUAGGUUGGUCCACCCAUACAUGGCGCAAACUAAUUUAAGCAAUUGAUAGAAUACCGAUAUAUUCAUAUUAUCGAUUUAGGAGGGAAUUUUUCCAAUAUUUUCCUCAUAUGUAAAUAGGGUGCUUUGCCGUGAACUCUGGCUACAUAUAUUAACCUUGCAUGUAGUUCCGCUUAGGAAAAAUCUUUACUAUUUCUUCUCAGCUCUCAUGCGUAAUUUAGUAUUAAUGUUUGGACUACUUUUGACCUUCCAUUUCAUAUAAAUUAUUUCAAGUUGCUGUAAUGCAUUUCUAACGUAUUUGAUUGUUUUCUUACAUAAAUGCUAGAGAAAACAGAUCUGUGCUUCAUGUAGCUGUAAGUGCUCCAAGUGAUGAGGUCAUAAAAAGUGAUGGGGUCAAUGUGGUUCCUGAAGUUUGGGGCGUAAAGGAUAGAAUCAAACAGUUUUCAGAGACUUCUAGGGGCGGAUUAUGGCUAGGUUCAACAUUCCCUUCAACUCAGUAAAUGUUUUCAAACACUGAAGAUUGAUCAGUGCUUCUUAGAUUGUACGUUGGGCCAACUGGUAGAGCAUUCACAGAUGUUGCGUCGGUUGGUAUAGGUGGUACCUUUCUUGGUCCUUUGGGCUGAGUGGAAACGAAUAUAUACAGAAUUAGGUGAGUACAGUGUCACCUGGUGCUGUUGACGGAAGAAAAGGGGAACAGAAAGGAGGAACCGAAUGGAGCUGAACCAAUGGAGUUAAAUGUUUAUGAUUUUUGAAGGGCUUGGUUUGGCUUUCUCAAUGAAUAAUGUGGACGAGAGCUGUUACCGAACCAUCAAUGGCAACUGCACUUUUCAAAAAAUUGACCCUUUAAUACUGGCACUAGGAGUAUAUGAUACUAAAGAAAUUUGAUGACUGGUCAUGAACUACAAAGCCACUUUGCAGCCUUUAUCCGCUCAGUACACUUAUAUUGCAUAUCUUUACGAUUUCUCUGGUCCCUUAGCAACUUAGAAAUUUGUAUGACAUACAGUCAAUCUAUUUUGAGGAAAUUAUUAUUCUCUAUUGCUUGAUGACGAGAAGUUACAUCCUCAUUUCCUGCACAUACUCCAUAUGUACCCCUUGAUUGAGGUUGAUGGAUGAGUUGGUCCUGAAAAUUGCCUACAAGAUCAGUUUAUUUUCAGUUUUCAAUUAUUGUUAUUACUUUGCUGCUAAAUAUCAACACAAUUUCAUAACAGUUUUGGGCUAAAAAAUUGGAUCAGGUGGGUGCUAAUUUGGUUCAGUUGUUCGGUGCUCCAGGAUAUG
Long non-coding RNA from Oryza brachyantha (malo sina), 1529 nucleotides. RefSeq lists it as uncharacterized. The transcript has 4 exons. NCBI's taxonomy places the organism in Eukaryota, Viridiplantae, Streptophyta, Magnoliopsida, Poales, Poaceae. The record is from RefSeq and is a predicted model, not a curated record.